CUGUGAUGCCCCGCUCUUUUAAAUACAUAUUAGAAUAAAUAGUUGCAUUAAUUACGAUAUUUCUUUUGCAUAUUUAAUUAUCACUUGAGAUUAUUAUAUUAAGAUAAUAUUAUUUCAGCAAAAGUCUGUAUAAGAGAUGCAGAGUUGCGAUUUAAUAUUCAGUCACGAAUCAAACCAAUAAUUAAAUUUAUUGGUUUAGCUACAUGUUUGAAACUUUA
Molecule: long non-coding RNA, 218 nt
Filed under: Salvia miltiorrhiza (redroot sage)
Lineage: Eukaryota; Viridiplantae; Streptophyta; Magnoliopsida; Lamiales; Lamiaceae
Description: long non-coding RNA (SMIL_LNC004363)
Source: RNAcentral